GUAGGUGGCAAGCGUUGUCCGGAAUUAUUGGGCGUAAAGCGCGCGCAGGCGGUUCCUUAAGUCUGAUGUGAAAGCCCACGGCUCAACCGUGGAGGGUCAUUGGAAACUGGAGAACUUGAGUACAGAAGAGGAAAGCGGAAUUCCACGUGUAGCGGUGAAAUGCGUAGAGAUGUGGAGGAACACCAGUGGCGAAGGCGGCUUUCUGGUCUGUAACUGACGCUGAGGCGCGAAAGCGUGGGGAGCAAACAGGAUUAGAUACCCUGGUAGUCCACGCCGUAAACGAUGAGUGCUAAGUGUUAGGGGGGUUUCCGCUCCUUAGUGCUGCAGCUAACGCAUUAAGCACUCCGCCUGGGAGUACGGCCGCAAGGCUG
Molecule: ribosomal RNA, 371 nt
Filed under: uncultured organism
Description: partial 16S ribosomal RNA
Rfam family: Bacterial small subunit ribosomal RNA
Source: RNAcentral